This 370-nucleotide unclassified non-coding RNA is filed under the name fungal sp. RNAcentral describes it as "partial internal transcribed spacer region". The stretch from base 1 to 46 matches the Rfam family "Eukaryotic small subunit ribosomal RNA", at positions 1786 to 1831 of the family's 1831-position model. The record is from RNAcentral. Lineage: Eukaryota; Fungi.
AAGUCGUAACAAGGUUUCCGUAGGUGAACCUGCGGAAGGAUCAUUAACACGUUUCGACGUAUUAUACAUCAACCUUUAACAACCUGUGAAUUUCAUCCCCUACCUAAUCCAACGUGUUGUACUCAAUUGAUAUGUAGUAGGAUAGGAUCAGCAAUGAUUCUAUGCAAUUGAUUGAUUACUAAGGUUUCGAAUCUAAAGACACAUUGGAGUAGGCUUUUACUUUUUUCCCCUACUACAAAAAAAUUAAACAAACUACUAUCACCUCUAUAAAAUAAAAAUAUGACUGAUGUAAGUUGUGAGCAGAAAUGCUUUAUCAACACCAUUUAUUUAUAACUAAGCACAACUCUUAGCAAUGGAUAUCUUGGUUCUC